This 496-nucleotide ribosomal RNA is filed under the name uncultured bacterium. RNAcentral's name for it is "partial 16S ribosomal RNA". It matches the Rfam family "Bacterial small subunit ribosomal RNA", at positions 29 to 507 of the family's 1533-position model. The record is from RNAcentral.
AUGAACGCUGGCGGCGUGCCUAAUACAUGCAAGUCGAGCGAACAGACGAGGAGCUUGCUCCUCUGACGUUAGCGGCGGACGGGUGAGUAACACGUGGAUAACCUACCUAUAAGACUGGGAUAACUUCGGGAAACCGGAGCUAAUACCGGAUAAUAUAUUGAACCGCAUGGUUCAAUAGUGAAAGACGGUUUUGCUGUCACUUAUAGAUGGAUCCGCGCCGCAUUAGCUAGUUGGUAAGGUAACGGCUUACCAAGGCAACGAUGCGUAGCCGACCUGAGAGGGUGAUCGGCCACACUGGAACUGAGACACGGUCCAGACUCCUACGGGAGGUAGCAGUAGGGAAUCUUCCGCAAUGGGCGAAAGCCUGACGGAGCAACGCCGCGUGAGUGAUGAAGGUCUUCGGAUCGUAAAACUCUGUUAUUAGGGAAGAACAAAUGUGUAAGUAACUAUGCACGUCUUGACGGUACCUAAUCAGAAAGCCACGGCUAACUACGUG